RNAcentral lists this non-coding RNA (875 nucleotides) under Perkinsus marinus ATCC 50983. Its description in RNAcentral is "Eukaryotic small subunit ribosomal RNA". It matches the Rfam family "Eukaryotic small subunit ribosomal RNA", at positions 1 to 870 of the family's 1831-position model. Lineage: Eukaryota; Perkinsozoa; Perkinsida; Perkinsidae. The record is from Rfam by way of RNAcentral.
CACCUGGUUGAUCCUGCCAGUAGUCAUAUGCUUGUCUCAAAGAUUAAGCCAUGCAUGUCUAAGUAUAAGCUUUAAACGGCGAAACUGCGAAUGGCUCAUUAAAACAGUUAUAGUUUAUUUGGUGAUCGAUUACUAUUUGGAUAACCGUAGUAAUUCUAGAGCUAAUACAUGCGUCAAGGCCCGACUUCGGAAGGGCUGCGUUUAUUAGAUACAGAACCAACCUAGGCUCCGCCUAGUCCUUGUUGGUGAUUCAUAAUAACCCGGCGAAUCGCACGGCUUGUCCGGCGAUGGACCAUUCAAGUUUCUGACCUAUCAGCUAUGGACGGUAGGGUAUUGGCCUACCGUGGCGUUGACGGGUAACGGGGAAUUAGGGUUCGAUUCCGGAGAGGGAGCCUGAGAAACGGCUACCACAUCUAAGGAAGGCAGCAGGCGCGCAAAUUACCCAAUCCUGAUACAGGGAGGUAGUGACAAGAAAUAACAAUACAGGGCAAUUCUGUCUUGUAAUUGGAAUGAGUAGAUUUUAAAUCUCUUUACGAGUAUCAAUUGGAGGGCAAGUCUGGUGCCAGCAGCCGCGGUAAUUCCAGCUCCAAUAGCGUAUAUUAAAGUUGUUGCGGUUAAAAAGCUCGUAGUUGGAUUUCUGCCUUGGGCGACCGAUCCACCUUUCCUACGGGAUUGGUUGGUAUCAGGUUUGACCUUGGCUUUUUCUUGGGAUUCGUGCUCACGUACUUAACUGUGCGUUGACCGUGUUCCAAGACUUUUACUUUGAGGAAAAUAGAGUGUUUCAAGCAGGCUUAUGCCAUGAAUACAUUAGCAUGGAAAUAAUAGGAUAUGACUUCGGUCAUAUUUUUGUUGUUUCUAGGACUGAAGUAAUGAUU